UACGAAGGGGGCUAGCGUUGUUCGGAAUUACUGGGCGUAAAGCGUGCGCAGGCGGCUUCUCAAGUCAGGGGUGAAAGCCCCAGGCUCAACCUGGGAAGUGCACUCGAUACUGCGUGGCUUGAGUAUCGGAGAGGUUGGUGGAAUUCUCGGUGUAGAGGUGAAAUUCGUAGAUAUCGAGAGGAACACCGGUGGCGAAGGCGGCCAACUGGACGAAUACUGACGCUGAGACACGAAAGCGUGGGGAGCAAACAGG
This 253-nucleotide ribosomal RNA is filed under the name uncultured bacterium. RNAcentral's name for it is "partial 16S ribosomal RNA". It matches the Rfam family "Bacterial small subunit ribosomal RNA", at positions 524 to 776 of the family's 1533-position model. The record is from RNAcentral.